Molecule: ribosomal RNA, 506 nt
Filed under: uncultured bacterium
Lineage: Bacteria
Description: partial 16S ribosomal RNA
Rfam family: Bacterial small subunit ribosomal RNA
Source: RNAcentral
AGUGAACGCUGGCGGUAGGCCUAACACAUGCAAGUCGAACGGCAGCACAGGAGAGCUUGCUCUCUGGGUGGCGAGUGGCGGACGGGUGAGGAAUACAUCGGAAUCUACUCUGUCGUGGGGGAUAACGUAGGGAAACUUACGCUAAUACCGCAUACGACCUACGGGUGAAAGCAGGGGAUCUUCGGACCUUGCGCGAUUGAAUGAGCCGAUGUCGGAUUAGCUAGAUGGCGGGGUAAAGGCCCACCAAGGCGACGAGCCGUAGCUGGUCUGAGAGGAUGAGCAGCCACACUGGAACUGAGACACGGUCCAGACUCCUACGGGAGGCAGCAGUGGGGAAUAUUGGACAAUGGGCGCAAGCCUGAUCCAGCCAUACCGCGUGGGUGAAGAAGGCCUUCGGGUUGUAAAGCCCCUUUGUUGGGAAAGAAAUCCAGCUGGCUAAUACCCGGUUGGGAUGACGGUACCCAAAGAAUAAGCACCGGCUAACUUCGUGCCAGCAGCCGCCGUAA